Molecule: transfer RNA, 70 nt
Filed under: Canis lupus familiaris (dog)
Lineage: Eukaryota; Metazoa; Chordata; Mammalia; Carnivora; Canidae
Also listed under: 1 other name
Rfam family: tRNA
About the family: Transfer RNA (tRNA) molecules are approximately 80 nucleotides in length.
Source: Rfam by way of RNAcentral
GCCUGAGUGGCUCAGUGGUUGAGCAUCUGCCUUUGGCACAGGGUCCUGGGAUCAAGUCCCAUAUCAGGCU